GACCCUUCGGGGAGCCUAUACAGGUGUCGCAUGGCUGUCGUCAGCUCGUGUCGUGAGAUGUCGGUUAAGUCCGCUAACGAGCGCAACCCUCGUCGUAUGUUAUAUGUGUCAUACGAGACUGCCGGUAAAAGCCGGAGGAAGGUGAGGAUGAUGUCAAGUCAGCAUGACCUUUAUAUCCAGGGCUACACACACGCUACAAUGGUCUGUACAAUGGGUAGCCAAGCCGCGAGGCGGAGCCAAUCCUGAAGCAGGCCUCAGUUCAGAUUGCAGUCUGCAACUCGACUGCAUGAAGCCGGAGUUGCUAGUAACCGCAGGUCAGCAAUACUGCGGUGAAUACGUUCCCGGGUCUU
RNAcentral lists this ribosomal RNA (350 nucleotides) under uncultured Anaerolineaceae bacterium. RNAcentral describes it as "bacterial SSU rRNA". It matches the Rfam family "Bacterial small subunit ribosomal RNA", at positions 1014 to 1382 of the family's 1533-position model. The record is from RNAcentral. Lineage: Bacteria; Bacillati; Chloroflexota; Anaerolineae; Anaerolineales; Anaerolineaceae.